GAAGCCAUGGAAACGGGUAAUAUUUACUUGUGAUGAUGUCACAAGAAUCCUCCUCCAACCCUUCCACUCUCUUCCUCUGCCCCCAUUUAAAGGAAGGAAGGUGAUGACGACCCUGCUUAUCGUUUUUUCAUCCGUUUUUAUCUGCCUCACUGCCUCACACACACACACACAAUAUUUCCACACAGACUUGCAGGCAGAACCGCUUUACUUAUUCAGAGAAGAGAGGGGCAGCUCAGCCGGGUCCAUCUAUAAUUCAUGCACCGGAAAGCAUUGACUUCAGUGUCGAGGGAUGUAGCAGUGCUCAGCAGUCAGAAGACAUCACUGUCACAUCUGGACCGAACACACAAUGAAUAUUAAGAUAUAUUAAGGCUACAGCCGCCUGCCAUGUUCACACCCGAGAUCUAUUAAAUUGAAGCAGUUACAUGUGCCAAAUGCUCCCCUGGAUCAGUGAUUUCUAACUAGGGGGUACAUGGAAGGAUAGGGGAGUAGCUGUACUAAUGCGGACAAAAAAUUAUACAUUUUGGGAGAGGUGUCUAUACGCACCCAAAUAGGAUUUCAAUGGAGUGAUGUUGGUCUUUACCUUCUGCCAGCCUGAGUCAUUUGUAACAGCUUAAAGCCAUGUUUUAUCACAGAAAUGGCAUGAAAUGGUUAGCUAAAAAUAAUGGAUAAAUGGUUGAAACACUAAGCCAAAGGUUACGUACUAAACAGUUAAAACUACAUAUGUAGUGCAUAAACAGUUGAGUUCAAUUUAGUUCAUGUCACAUAUACAAGGAAAAAAUUAAGUUUGCUGUAGAUGUUGGCUGAAUCUUUUGCUUAUUACAGCUACCCUUUUUACAUUUAUUAUUUUGUGAAGUUCCCUUUAGAUUUAUAUACUUCAGCAUAGUUGAACUAAUGAGCCAAAACUAACGGAAAACAGCAAUGCUAAUGGUAAAACUUUUAACUCGCUUGAAGUAAUAGAUAAAAAGUUGAAAUAGUGGGUUCAAAGUAAUAAACAGUUGAAAUGAGUUGAAAACUAAAACUAAUGCAUAAAUAGUUGAUUUAAUUAGCUGUAAUUGAUGGAUAAACACAUGAAAUAAUAUGCUAAAGAACACAUUACAAUUAGUUCAAAUGAACACAUUUUAACAUAGCAGAGGUACAGUGUGCCAACUGUGUGUCUGUGUGCUGGAAAUGCCUAAAUCUAUAUCUAUCUAGCAAAAAAAGUAAAUGAGAGAAAAUAUGGGCGAGAUUCAGAUUCUACCGUAAAGCCUCAGGUCUCUCCCACAAAUUCAUUCAGAGAGAAGUGUAGUUCCUCAAUCUCAUAUUGAGUCAUUGCUGGAUGUCUGUUCGCUGGUAUUUCAACACUUAGUCAAUAACUUGUAAUUAUAUGUAUGAUGAGAGAAACUCACACACUGGUCAGCGGUCUGUCCUGUUGAGUCAGGACCAAUACCAAUCUUAAACCGUUGCACUGGCUUGGUCUCUGACAUCACAUUUCUCUCAAUGUUGCUCUUUAGUCGCCGCCUUGUGUGCUUGUCAAGUCUCUUUCGAAACUGAAAAUGACACAUGGCCGCCUCAAGGACAGUUGCAUCAGUGCCAAUGUGAAAGUGAAAGUGCAAAUGUUUUUUCAUUGUGACAGGAGAACAAGUGGGAGGCAGAGAUUAAAUGUGUGUUAAAAGGAAAGCAAAAGAAUGUAGACCGGUUGGAUGCGAGUGUUGACAUAGGAAGAGUCUGGGAAACUAAAAGCAAAUUAUCUGCCCAACUGUGCCUGAGAAUGCACACAUGAUGCUUUGUGAUUGUAUUGCAUGUUGCGGCUACACUGAAGUUUACUGAGAACAUGGAGCCACUGAUGGUGGCGAUGGGACUCAUUAACACAUGUGCAAAACAAGCAGAAGCAUUGGCAAUUAUAAAUAAAAGCAAUGUUUGGAGUCAUUUCUGCUCAGGUACUAGACAAUACAGUAAUUUCCACAGAUAUAAUUCUUCAAACUUUCAGGACGCUGAAUUAUAUGGAAGACUUUCAUUUUCACUCAUAGGGGAAUAAUGUGUAAAUUCUCAUCCUUUAUUAUCACUCCACCUUUGUUUGUGAUUACAUAACGGAUGUUUCACUGCUGUAGAUGAAUGGGAAGACUUGGGAAUUUUCAAAGAGACAUGAGGCCUGCACUGGUUUUUAUGGGUCUAUGUGGAAAAGCAUUCAGUGAAGAGCAUCAUCACUGCUGGCCUCUACUGGACAGUGAAAACGUCACAUGUGACCGAGUUCAUCUGCUGCUAAAUUGUAUAAAGCACUGUCGACCUUUGUGACCAAAAGGUAGUAUCUACUUGGAAUUCCCCAAAAUUAGAGUCUCCCUACACAGAGAGGUGAAAACUUCAAAGAAACAGUGAUAAUCCCUUUAGUUUCAUCAGGGGCGCUACCAUGAGAAGAAGAGAGGCU
Long non-coding RNA from Etheostoma cragini (Arkansas darter), 2401 nucleotides. RefSeq lists it as uncharacterized. The transcript has 2 exons. The record is from RefSeq and is a predicted model, not a curated record. NCBI's taxonomy places the organism in Eukaryota, Metazoa, Chordata, Actinopteri, Perciformes, Percidae.